CCUCCGUUGGUGAACCAGCGGAGGGAUCAUUACCGAGUUUUUCAACUCCCAAACCCCUGUGAACAUACCAUUUGUUGCCUCGGCGGUGCCUGCUUCGGCAGCCCGCCAGAGGACCCAAACCCUUGAUUUUAUACAGUAUCUUCUGAGUAAAUGAUUAAAUAAAUCAAAACUUUCAACAACGGAUCUCUUGGUUCUG
RNAcentral lists this unclassified non-coding RNA (196 nucleotides) under plant metagenome. RNAcentral's name for it is "partial contains small subunit ribosomal RNA, internal transcribed spacer 1, and 5.8S ribosomal RNA". The record is from RNAcentral.